This 767-nucleotide long non-coding RNA is filed under the name Helianthus annuus (common sunflower). Its description in RNAcentral is "hypothetical non coding rna". Lineage: Eukaryota; Viridiplantae; Streptophyta; Magnoliopsida; Asterales; Asteraceae. The record is from RNAcentral.
AAGAUAAUAAAACUUCAACAACUUACCAACUUUAUUAGAUUCAAGUGGCACAAAAAAAAAUUAUAAUAUUUAAUUAAAAGUUUAUUGAAUAAGUUAGUAGCUUAUUUAAUUAGUUUAUAAAAUUAUAAAUUAUAAUCAAACUUUUACUAUAACGUUAUUAAUUUCAAUUGAUUAGUAGGGGAAAAAGACGUAGUUGUAACUUUGUUUAAAGGUUACUGAGAAAAGUAAGGCCCUUUUAUUUUGAAAAACAAAGAGUACACACGAGGGUAGUUUUAUUAUUAUUAUUAUUAUUUGCAGUCACCGUGGCUCGUGGUCUGUUGUUCAAAAUCAGGAAAAGUCUUUGAAGUAUCAAAAUGUACACCCGUGCAUUCAUAAUUUAAUGAAAUAAUAAUGAGGUAUGCGGUUAUGUAACCGCCUUAUGCUAGGCCUACACUUGUGAUAAAACAUGAGUUCUCAACAUAACAUUGGUUCUAAAAUGCACUCUCAUCAAUAUAUAAAUAUGCACACGCAUAUUACCAAUUAAUAGAAUUAUGUUAUUGUUGUUUUAAUUAUCACUUAGUUAGUAUUUAGUGGAACAUAAUGUAUGAAAAAUUAAAAAAAAAAAGUAAUGAUACAUUAACAUUUGAAAAAAAGAAAAGAUUUUUUUUUCUUUUGAAUUUUCUUUUUUAUACCAGGGAUCUAUUGAAUAAAAUGCUAAGCAAGUAUUUUUUGAAAGUUUGAAUGCUUAAAAGAUGGAAAUCAAUUAUAAAAUCUUUCUUUACUAUAUC